This 253-nucleotide ribosomal RNA is filed under the name uncultured bacterium. RNAcentral describes it as "partial 16S ribosomal RNA". It matches the Rfam family "Bacterial small subunit ribosomal RNA", at positions 524 to 776 of the family's 1533-position model. The record is from RNAcentral.
UACGUAGGGGCCUAGCGUUGUCCGGAAUUAUUGGGCGUAAAGCGCGCGCAGGCGGUCCUUUAAGUCUGAUGUGAAAGCCCACGGCUCAACCGUGGAGGGUCAUUGGAAACUGGGGGACUUGAGUACAGAAGAGAAGAGUGGAAUUCCACGUGUAGCGGUGAAAUGCGUAGAGAUGUGGAGGAACACCAGUGGCGAAGGCGACUCUUUGGUCUGUAACUGACGCUGAGGCGCGAAAGCGUGGGGAGCAAACAGG